Molecule: unclassified non-coding RNA, 1128 nt
Filed under: Hevea brasiliensis (rubber tree)
Lineage: Eukaryota; Viridiplantae; Streptophyta; Magnoliopsida; Malpighiales; Euphorbiaceae
Source: RNAcentral
UAAGUUGGCAUCUUUUCUACACUCAAGCAUGCAAGUGGAUUAAAUAUUUAUGUCUCAGCCUUAGGCGUAGGUGACUGGAAAUUGAAAAUUGUCAGUUUUUUUUUAUUUUAAUUCUUGAUUCAUGCAAUUAUUAUUUGGGGAUCACAUUGCAAAGUGCAUAAAGGUUAAACAUUUGGAUUUAUGCUGAUUAUAUCCAUCUCUUUGACCAACAAAUAUAGUCAGUAUGUGUCCUAUUCCUUCCCGUCUGUAUUGGUUUGACUCUGCUACAGCUUUAUUGGGAUUGUGAAAGAUGCCAUGGAUAUGAUCAAAUCAAAAUAAAUUUCUUUCCAUGUUUAAUCAUUUUGCCUUUGUAAUGCACGAGCUGAAUGAAAUUUUAUUUCGCUGUUGCUGGCCAAUGUGUAUUGUUGAAAUAAGUGCGCCAGAAAUUCAGCUGUUUUGUAACUAUUGUUUUAGGUCAACUGUUAGUUUGUUAAUUGUGAACCAUUCGUCUGUUUCCAAUUUCAGAUGAAGCUGCAAGGGGAGAAGACUGGACGUAAGGGUCAUUUAUCUAUUGCAACUGAGAUCUUUGAGGUGGCCCCUUCUCUUUAUAUGGUUGAACUUCGCAAAUCUGGUGGAGAUACCCUAGAAUUUCACAAGUUCUACAAGAACCUGUCAACUGGACUAAAAGAUAUUGUUUGGAAGACAGUUGAUGAAGAAAAGGUGCAGAUAAAUGGUGCUGCUGUGGUACUGGCAUGAGUUGCGUAGAGCCGUAGGGCAGCUCUUCUCCAUAUGGAUUAUUCAAAAAGAUUGUCAUCUAGCUCGCAGUGCUGAUAUAUAGAUUGUUCCAAAAAGGAUCAAACUUCUGUUUUAUUUUGCCUUAGUUGGAACUUUGUUAUCAAGAACUUAGUCAUGUAUACCUUGGCUUAGCUUGAAGCAUUCUUCAUACCUUGGGAGAAUACAUAAAUAUAUUCUGAUUUGCGAGGAAGGUCUCUCCCUCUCCCUCCCUCGUCAUUUUCCAUGGUUUCAUCCCUGCGUAUUCUCUUAAAAAUUGUAGUAUGUUUAGAGAUUUUCUUUUUGUGCAAGCAGGUAGGAGUACAAAUAUAUCUUCGUCAUCUUUUCUAAUUAAUUUAAUAUUAUUGCUAGAGGUAA